This 267-nucleotide small RNA is filed under the name Arabidopsis thaliana (thale cress). RNAcentral's name for it is "ATSL157250". Lineage: Eukaryota; Viridiplantae; Streptophyta; Magnoliopsida; Brassicales; Brassicaceae. The record is from RNAcentral.
GUAACAACAUUAUCCACCCAUCUCCAAUUUAUUUAUUACUGAUUCUUGAUCAAUAGAUAUCAUCAAUAAAAACAUGAAACGCUAAAAUUUGAUAUAUACUUACCACGGUCACAUAGGUACUUUAUGCAAUUUACACUGACGGACAGAUUAAACAAAAUAAGACGAAGCUCUACUUAAUGAUAAGGAUAAAUUCACUCCUCCACCAAUUAUAUUAAGCGAAAACAACAUCCACCAAAUCAAAUUAGCUCAACCAUCUGCAAAAAGAAA